CCUACGGGUGGCAGCAGUGGGGAAUAUUGCGCAAUGGGGGAAACCCUGAUGCAGCGACGCCGCGUGGGUGAAGAAGCGCCUCGGCGCGUAAAGCCCUGUCAGCAGGGAAGAAAAUGACGGUACCUGAAGAAGAAGCCCCGGCUAACUACGUGCCAGCAGCCGCGGUAAUACGUAGGGGGCAAGCGUUAACCGGAUUUCCUGGGUGUAAAGGGGGCGCAGACGGCGAUGCAAGCCAGGAGUGAAAGCCCGGGGCCCAACCCCGGGACUGCUCUUGGAACUGCGUGGCUAGAGUGCAGGAGGGGCAGGCGGAAUUCCUGGUGUAGCGGUGAAAUGCGUAGAUAUCAGGAGGAACACCGGUGGCGAAGGCGGCCUGCUGGACUGCAACUGACGUUGAGGCCCGAAAGCGUGGGGAUCAAACAGGAUUAGAUACCCGAGUAGUC
This 440-nucleotide ribosomal RNA is filed under the name uncultured bacterium. Its description in RNAcentral is "partial 16S ribosomal RNA". It matches the Rfam family "Bacterial small subunit ribosomal RNA", at positions 338 to 795 of the family's 1533-position model. The record is from RNAcentral.